Long non-coding RNA from Cucurbita maxima (winter squash), 532 nucleotides. RefSeq lists it as uncharacterized. The record is from RefSeq and is a predicted model, not a curated record. NCBI's taxonomy places the organism in Eukaryota, Viridiplantae, Streptophyta, Magnoliopsida, Cucurbitales, Cucurbitaceae. The transcript has 3 exons.
UAUUGACUGUGCACCAUGACUUGGAGAUCAUUGUGUUCAAUGGGAUAACAUUAUGGGGGAAUUUAUUACCAGUUGGACCUUUAAGAGAAUCAUGUUGAUCGACUUGACUCAACUCAACUUCUUCAGUGACCAUCACGAUAGGAGCAUAUCAUGUUGAUCGACUUGACUCGACUCAAUUCGACUUCUUCAGUGACCGUCACGAUAGGAGCAUAUUAGGUUGAUCGGCUUGACUCGGCUCAACUUGACUUUUUCAGUGACCAUAAUGAUAGGAGCAUAUCAGGUUGAUCAACUUGACUUCUUCAGUGACCAUCACGAUAGGAGCAUAUCAUGUUGAUCGACUUGACUCGACUCAACUCUACUUUUUCAGUGAUCAUCACGAUAGGAGCAUAUCAGUGACCAUCACGAUAGGAUCAUGUCAUGUUGAUCGACUUCACUCAACUUGAUUUCUUUAGUGACCAUCAUGAUAGGAAGCAUAUCAUGUUGAUCGACUAGACUCGACCCAACUUCAGGGACCAACACGUGUAUCAAGACA